RNAcentral lists this ribosomal RNA (504 nucleotides) under Triticum aestivum (bread wheat). RNAcentral describes it as "partial small subunit ribosomal RNA". Lineage: Eukaryota; Viridiplantae; Streptophyta; Magnoliopsida; Poales; Poaceae. The record is from RNAcentral.
AUGUUUGAGGACAUCACAAGUGAUGGCACAGAUCAUUGGAAUCCUUCAACAGGCAUACCUCCAUCCUCUAGUGCAGCAAUACCAGAUACCAUUGAUAUUGAAGCCAUCACAGAUGUUGAUUUCUUAGAAGAUCCCCAAGUGCCACCUUCUCCUGCUAUGCCACCUUCUCCUACAACGAAUAAGAGGCUUGGAAAAACCAUUGAUGACAAGCACAAGAAACCUAGGACUGCACAAGUGAUGCAGGAUGAGAUUACACAGAUUAAAAACAUUGCUAAGGAGUCCCAAGAAACCGUUCGAUCAUUCAUAAAGAAUGAUGAUGCCACUUCUGUUGCCAGUACCAUGAAUGAAGUGCUUGCUCUUGGUAUUUUAGAGGGUAGUGAUGAACACUACAUAGCAACCGAGUUUUUCAUCAAAAGAGAGCAAAGAGAGAUGUUUCUACACAUGGGUGUUGCCGCACGUAAAGAUUGGCUUCGUAGGAAGUUUGCCAUGACGUACGGGAAAUAG